Molecule: ribosomal RNA, 1551 nt
Filed under: Salmonella enterica subsp. enterica serovar Senftenberg str. 361154004
Lineage: Bacteria; Pseudomonadati; Pseudomonadota; Gammaproteobacteria; Enterobacterales; Enterobacteriaceae
Description: bacterial SSU rRNA
Rfam family: Bacterial small subunit ribosomal RNA
Source: RNAcentral
AAAUUGAAGAGUUUGAUCAUGGCUCAGAUUGAACGCUGGCGGCAGGCCUAACACAUGCAAGUCGAACGGUAACAGGAAGCAGCUUGCUGCUUUGCUGACGAGUGGCGGACGGGUGAGUAAUGUCUGGGAAACUGCCUGAUGGAGGGGGAUAACUACUGGAAACGGUGGCUAAUACCGCAUAACGUCGCAAGACCAAAGAGGGGGACCUUCGGGCCUCUUGCCAUCAGAUGUGCCCAGAUGGGAUUAGCUUGUUGGUGAGGUAACGGCUCACCAAGGCGACGAUCCCUAGCUGGUCUGAGAGGAUGACCAGCCACACUGGAACUGAGACACGGUCCAGACUCCUACGGGAGGCAGCAGUGGGGAAUAUUGCACAAUGGGCGCAAGCCUGAUGCAGCCAUGCCGCGUGUAUGAAGAAGGCCUUCGGGUUGUAAAGUACUUUCAGCGGGGAGGAAGGUGUUGUGGUUAAUAACCACAGCAAUUGACGUUACCCGCAGAAGAAGCACCGGCUAACUCCGUGCCAGCAGCCGCGGUAAUACGGAGGGUGCAAGCGUUAAUCGGAAUUACUGGGCGUAAAGCGCACGCAGGCGGUCUGUCAAGUCGGAUGUGAAAUCCCCGGGCUCAACCUGGGAACUGCAUUCGAAACUGGCAGGCUUGAGUCUUGUAGAGGGGGGUAGAAUUCCAGGUGUAGCGGUGAAAUGCGUAGAGAUCUGGAGGAAUACCGGUGGCGAAGGCGGCCCCCUGGACAAAGACUGACGCUCAGGUGCGAAAGCGUGGGGAGCAAACAGGAUUAGAUACCCUGGUAGUCCACGCCGUAAACGAUGUCUACUUGGAGGUUGUGCCCUUGAGGCGUGGCUUCCGGAGCUAACGCGUUAAGUAGACCGCCUGGGGAGUACGGCCGCAAGGUUAAAACUCAAAUGAAUUGACGGGGGCCCGCACAAGCGGUGGAGCAUGUGGUUUAAUUCGAUGCAACGCGAAGAACCUUACCUGGUCUUGACAUCCACGGAAGAAUUCAGAGAUGGAUUUGUGCCUUCGGGAACCGUGAGACAGGUGCUGCAUGGCUGUCGUCAGCUCGUGUUGUGAAAUGUUGGGUUAAGUCCCGCAACGAGCGCAACCCUUAUCCUUUGUUGCCAGCGGUAGGCCGGGAACUCAAAGGAGACUGCCAGUGAUAAACUGGAGGAAGGUGGGGAUGACGUCAAGUCAUCAUGGCCCUUACGACCAGGGCUACACACGUGCUACAAUGGCGCAUACAAAGAGAAGCGACCUCGCGAGAGCAAGCGGACCUCAUAAAGUGCGUCGUAGUCCGGAUUGGAGUCUGCAACUCGACUCCAUGAAGUCGGAAUCGCUAGUAAUCGUGGAUCAGAAUGCCACGGUGAAUACGUUCCCGGGCCUUGUACACACCGCCCGUCACACCAUGGGAGUGGGUUGCAAAAGAAGUAGGUAGCUUAACCUUCGGGAGGGCGCUUACCACUUUGUGAUUCAUGACUGGGGUGAAGUCGUAACAAGGUAACCGUAGGGGAACCUGCGGUUGGAUCACCUCCUUACCUUAAAGAA